RNAcentral lists this ribosomal RNA (505 nucleotides) under uncultured bacterium. Its description in RNAcentral is "partial 16S ribosomal RNA". It matches the Rfam family "Bacterial small subunit ribosomal RNA", at positions 28 to 507 of the family's 1533-position model. The record is from RNAcentral.
GACGAACGCUGGCGGCGUGCCUAAUACAUGCCAGUAGAACGCACAGUUUAUACCGUAGCUUGCUACACCAUAGACUGUGAGUUGCGAACGGGUGAGUAACGCGUAGGUAACCUGCCUGGUAGCGGGGGAUAACUAUUGGAAACGAUAGCUAAUACCGCAUAAUAUUGAUUAUUGCAUGAUAAUUGAUUGAAAGAUGCUAUUGCAUCACUACCAGAUGGACCUGCGUUGUAUUAGCUAGUAGGUGAGGUAACGGCUCACCUAGGCGACGAUACAUAGCCGACCUGAGAGGGUGAUCGGCCACACUGGGACUGAGACACGGCCCAGACUCCUACGGGAGGCAGCAGUAGGGAAUCUUCGGCAAUGGACGAAAGUCUGACCGAGCAACGCCGCGUGAGUGAAGAAGGGUUUCGGAUCGUAAAGCUCUGUUGUAAGAGAAGAACGGGUGUGAGAGUGGAAAGUUCACACUGUGACGGUAUCUUACCAGAAAGGGACGGCUAACUACGUG